AACAGACUGAUUCUGGGGCAAAAAGUCCAUGUUGGUCCCAAUGCCCAGCUAUGGACAGGCUACUGGGCACCAGCCCAUGCUUUUCUGCAUCUAGACCACUGGCUGAAUUAGAAGAGACUGGGAGAAACCAUGAUUGGAAGGAAUUGAAUCUUGGUCCUACAACAGUGCUACAAAGGGGUUCAUCCACAAGAAAUGUUUAAGAGUGAGCAGCUAAAAACUUUAACAUUGACACAACAUCCAAGCAUGUGAUUAGCGACUUGUCUCUCCAAACAAGGUAGAAGCCAGCUUGAAUGUCUUCUCUCCUGUGAAAGCAGCAGCAGCUGUUUUGAUAGAAGUCUAAAGAUCUCAAGAUUCUUGAUCAAUGCAGCCUUCUUGAACUUCCUAACACCACAGAAGGACAUUCAUUCUUUGUGAUCUCAAACAUCAGCUCCAUUUCACCGCUGCAAAAAGAGAUGUCUACCAGAUGGUGAUACCACAUAAAUAUCAUAGACAUCAUAUUAGAUCACUAAUAAUCUCAAAGUAACAGAAAGAGACAGGGUCCAGAGAUGUGCUCUGCACCUUAUAUAUGUUGUCAUCUUGAGGGAUCCUCUCAGUAACACUUCACAACAGGGAUAAUUAAUUCCAUUCCAUAAAAGGAGGAACUAAGGUUUAGUGAACUUAAGGAACUUGCCCAAGGUUGCAAAGCUUCUAAACAGCAGAACGUAGAUACAAAUCCAGAAUCGCUUUGCUCUGAAAACCCCCAAGUUUUUCCAUCACACCCCACAUGGCCCUGGGCUAUUAGUGCCUUUGACUUUUACCAAUAGAACAACGUCACAAAA
This is a long non-coding RNA of Callorhinus ursinus (northern fur seal), 818 nucleotides long. RefSeq lists it as uncharacterized. Lineage: Eukaryota; Metazoa; Chordata; Mammalia; Carnivora; Otariidae. The record is from RefSeq and is a predicted model, not a curated record.